CGGAACCGGCGCGUCCUGGAGGAGCCACGGGCCGGUGCUGCCUCCUGGAGCUGGACAGAGGAGGGCAGAGUUUCUGCAGACCCUGCUGAGCUGCUGUGGUCAGCAUCCAGGCCCUGAGCAUCCAGCCUUCACAGGUCCAGCAAAGCUCUCCCCUCCAAUGACCAGCCUAUCCCUUCCUUGUGUGCAAUAAAGCCCCUGAUUGCCAGGCCA
Molecule: long non-coding RNA, 210 nt
Organism: Suncus etruscus (white-toothed pygmy shrew)
Lineage: Eukaryota; Metazoa; Chordata; Mammalia; Eulipotyphla; Soricidae
Exons: 2
Source: RefSeq, a predicted model, not a curated record